This 253-nucleotide ribosomal RNA is filed under the name uncultured bacterium. RNAcentral describes it as "partial 16S ribosomal RNA". It matches the Rfam family "Bacterial small subunit ribosomal RNA", at positions 524 to 776 of the family's 1533-position model. The record is from RNAcentral.
UACGUAGGGUGCGAGCGUUGUCCGGAAUUACUGGGCGUAAAGAGCUCGUAGGUGGUUUGUCGCGUUGUUCGUGAAAACUCACAGCUUAACUGUGGGCGUGCGGGCGAUACGGGCAGACUAGAGUACUGCAGGGGAGACUGGAAUUCCUGGUGUAGCGGUGGAAUGCGCAGAUAUCAGGAGGAACACCGGUGGCGAAGGCGGGUCUCUGGGCAGUAACUGACGCUGAGGAGCGAAAGCGUGGGGAGCAAACAGG